Molecule: long non-coding RNA, 765 nt
Organism: Xenopus laevis (African clawed frog)
Lineage: Eukaryota; Metazoa; Chordata; Amphibia; Anura; Pipidae
Exons: 2
Source: RefSeq, a predicted model, not a curated record
AUCAGUGCUUCCCCUGGAGACCUAGAGGAGGGUGAAGGACCUGUGGACACCACCAUGUGCAGGAAGGAGGUGUGGGUGUGUGUUUAGAUGGGAGACUGUGUUCCCAGCUGACCUGAACUGUUGGAGAGAGCUCCAAAGGAGUGGAGAAAGGACGAGAAAACCCCCUCCCAAGAGACUGUGUGAGUCUAACAGAGGAUUCUGGGACUUGUGCACAUCCAUGGCUCUGGAAAGGGAUAUACAAUCCACAGACGAAGGAAAUUGCUCAACUAUAAGACUCAUAUGUUACCCAUACACUGCCUUAUUCACUAAAUCUUUUUCCAGUAGGCAUAACAGGAGGAAAUUGAACUACAAUCCCUCAAACCAUUAGCAGAAAAAGUCACUUAUUAGGAAAAUAUGUUGUAAGUGUUAUGCAAAUCUUGGGUUUUGAAAUGAAUAAUGUGAGUUAAAUGAAAUUUAUGAAAGUCUGCUCUUUGUAUUGCUAUUUAGAUGCUGACAUUAAAUAGUAAAUUAAAUAGUUAAUUUUUUAACUCAUGUCAAUAGCAUCUUGGUUACACUACUGUUAAGUGUGGAGUAUUAUGGUUUUCUCCAAAGGGGUUAUUUACUAAAACCUGACUUUUUAUCACUUUAUUUGUUUUUUAAAAAUUAGACCAAACCCAAAUGCCAUUAAUUUACCAACAAUUGUUAUCAGCAAUCAUACUUUUAACAAUUAUAAAAUGCAAGUGUGAUCAAUUCAUUCAAUGAUUUUAAUAAAAAUUCUUUUUUUUU